GUCUUCAGUAGUAUGUCACAGAGAUACAGUGACUUUGUUUUUCCUUUUGAAUUUUGUCAAAGGGUGAGGCAGAAUUUGCCCGAAUUAUGUCUUUGGUUGAUCCCAAUGGGCAGGGAACCGUCUCUUUCCAGUCUUUCAUUGACUUCAUGACCAGAGAGACUGCGGACACAGACACGGCUGAGCAAGUCAUAGCUUCUUUCAGAAUCCUAGCUUCGGAUAAGCCUUAUAUUCUUGCAGAAGAGCUGCAGAGAGAACUGCCUGCUGAAAAAGCUCAGUAUUGCAUCAGAAAGAUGCCUCCCUAUUCUGGACCAGGUGCUGUUCCUGGAGCCCUGGAUUAUACCUCAUUUUCAUCAGCAUUGUAUGGAGAAAGUGACCUGUGAUUCAAUAACUGAUGGUACUCAUUGUAUGCCAUUGUAUUCAAAUUGGAAAAACAACAACCCUGGUCUCCCAGUUUGCUUCUUGAAAGCAUUGACAAGAUGAUUUUAAAAUGAUUUUUACAAAUAUAGUAGAUACAUUCAGGGUCAAAUGUUAGGAAUGCAAAUAACUAGCAUAUAUUUCAGUGUGCACCAUUUGUAGGUUUCUGCAUUAAUGGCAUUAGUUUAUCUGGCAUAUAUUAUUAAACUGUAUUUUAAAGAAAAGGUGAAUCACUAAUUUGAAAAUAAAAGUAUUAAAUGUGUGACCCAUUCAGAAAAAAGAAAUUAAAGCUCGUGAAAAUAAAAAUUAUUCAAACUAACAAAAUAUUUUGCCAUUUUCAAAAAUUUCUUCAUUUAAUCUAUGCUGCUUUUAUUAUGGUCAUAGAGCUCUAUGUUUGAAGUCAUACUUUUUUCUUUCAUAUAAAAAUAUUACUUUACAGAUGUUGUGGUUUAUAUGCUUCCCUGGGUGGAGUUUAAUAAAAUAAAAAUACAACUUUUCAGAGAAGAAAAAUACCAUUCAAGUAAAAUACAUAAUCACUAAAAUAAUCCCAAACUGCAUUUUUUAUGUUUUAAAUAUGGUAUUUUAUUAACACAAAGCUGUAAUAUCAAAAGCAUCAUGCUGCAAACUCAUAAUACAUUACAAUUGUAAUAUCUUAUAAUAAAUCUAUAAGCAGUACUUUUAAGCCUUUUACUUUGCAUCUGAGGGCACGUCUACACAGCAGGGCUAAAGCCAAAAUAAGCUAUACAACUUGAGCUACGUCAAUUGCAUAGCUUAAGUCAAAAUAUCUUAUUUCGGCUUUUGACGCUGUCUACACAGCAGGAAGUCUGAGAGCAUUCUUCCUCCGAUUUCCCUUACUCCUCGUAAAAUGAGAGUUACAGGAGUUGAAGUAAGAUGUCCUCCAGCUCGACAUUAUUUGGAAACUAUGUCGAAAUAACUGCUUAUAGUGUGGACGUGGACUAUGUUAUUUCGGAGUAACAUCAGUUAUUCUGAAAUAAUGCUGCUGUGUAGACAUGGCCAGAGAGAGCACAACUUUCAUCAACAGGAAAUAGUAUGGAAGCUAAUUCAUGUCAAUUGUAUUUUGAAUAGAUUUUGUUUUCCCUCUGUGAAAUCCAGUUCUUUAUUUUAUUGUUGAGCAACCUGCAUAAUCCCAUAUGAUGCAAAAUGCUAUGUGAUCUAUUUGAGUAUGGUUGUGUUGCAGUUUUAACUGUAUGUCACAUACAAAAUUCAGAUUAUAGUUUUUCACUUCCGUUGAAUGACAGUUCUGCUGCUGUAUGCUAGUUUGUUUUACUGGAGUCAUGUUUCCAUCUUGACAAACUGUCGAGAAGUAAAGUGAUCACUUUUUACUUGAAACCUAACAGACACUGAAAAAUGCAAUGUAACCAAAUAAAACAUUCACAAAUGGUGAGGUUGUGACUUGUACAACUCAAUGCUACUAAAGCAAUGAUGUGCCUACUAAAUAAACUCUGCAUUUCAAACUUUA
This is a non-coding RNA of Pelodiscus sinensis (Chinese soft-shelled turtle), 1894 nucleotides long. Lineage: Eukaryota; Metazoa; Chordata; Testudines; Trionychidae. The record is from RefSeq and is a predicted model, not a curated record.